GCCUACCGGAGCCCCCCGCAGCGACUCUAAAGAAGUGCCCCAGUCGGCCCCGAUAUGCGGGUCGGCGACGCCGUCAAUCUGCUCUGGGAGCGUCGUACGCGACCCUACCAGAAGCCCCCCUCGGGGGUCCACAGAUCAAACGACAGCGGCCGCCCCGGGCGGUUGAGAUAUGACCGGCCCCGGCCUUCAUCGG
Molecule: ribosomal RNA, 193 nt
Filed under: Polyozosia dispersa
Lineage: Eukaryota; Fungi; Ascomycota; Lecanoromycetes; Lecanorales; Lecanoraceae
Description: Myriolecis dispersa partial 18S ribosomal RNA
Source: RNAcentral